Diceros bicornis minor is the source of this 856-nucleotide long non-coding RNA. RefSeq lists it as uncharacterized. The record is from RefSeq and is a predicted model, not a curated record. NCBI's taxonomy places the organism in Eukaryota, Metazoa, Chordata, Mammalia, Perissodactyla, Rhinocerotidae. The transcript is spliced from 4 exons.
AUGACCAUCUUCCUCAGACUCCUCUCAAAGUGAGAAGGCAGUUAAACCACCCCAGUGUCUCUACGAUUUAUAGCAGUUUCAAAGGCCGGAAAGUGAAGCCUUCCAACAACUAUACCUUUCUCUAUCACGGCAAACAGAUCCUGAACGACAUGACACCAGGAUCUGAAGAAGCUGAAGGAAAGCAGCACGGUGAAAAACCACCUCUAGAACUAUGAGGACUACUUUUGUUAAAAGAUACAAGGAAGUAAACCGGAAGUAAAUCAUAGUAGCAGCAAGUCUGCCUGAUUAUUCAGUCACAGAAGGGAAAAGGAGUGGAUGGAUCUGGGGUCCUUGGGAAGCAGAGGCGGCCAGAGUCGUGGUGACCGGAGGCCCCGUGUCUGCAUCAGAAGCACCCAACAUGCUUCAGCUCCUUCUUUCCACAACAGUGGUUGGACAUGAAGCAAAAAUGUGGGCAUUGUGAAAACCCCUCAUUGAAAGUCACUUGGAGGAAAAGAAGGACAGGAGAUGGGGUCUCCCUACUGAAGGUUGAAGUGGUGACAUCCACUGCUGACUUCACUAACGGCUGAUAAAGAAUUUAUUUACUGUAACACCUCACAGACACUGUACCACAGCCGCAUACAUCUAGUAGCCUGCCUGUGGCUGCUAAGAUAACGGAAUGAUCCGUCUUGUAUUCCGAGACUGAGUCUGAUCUGUUAACGAAGAGGUGCAGAAAAGUCUUGUGCUGUAUUCCUUGUCUCAGAUUUCCUUUGUAUUUCUUUUUUUAACACUCUAUAUUUCCCUCGUGUUUUUUAACUCAUGGACAUGUGCUCUUUGUACUAUUUUAAAGGUAACAAAAUCCAACAUAUCAAAAAUAUUA